AUACGGAGGAUCCGAGCGUUAUCCGGAUUUAUUGGGUUUAAAGGGUGCGCAGGCGGGAGAUUAAGUCGGCGGUGAAAUUUUGCAGCUCAACUGUAAAAGUGCCUUCGAAACUGGUUUUCUUGAGUGUAGAUGAAGUAGGCGGAAUUUGUGGUGUAGCGGUGAAAUGCAUAGAUAUCACGAGGAACUCCGAUUGCGCAGGCAGCUUACUAAACUACUACUGACGCUCAGGCACGAAGGCGUGGGGAUCAAACAGGAUUAGAUACCCUGGUAGUCCACGCAGUAAACGAUGAUUACUAGCUGUUUGCGAUACAAUGUAAGCGGCUGAGCGAAAGCGUUAAGUAAUCCACCUGGGGAGUACGUUCGCAAGAAUGAAACUCAAAUGAAUUGACGGGG
RNAcentral lists this ribosomal RNA (393 nucleotides) under uncultured bacterium. RNAcentral describes it as "partial 16S ribosomal RNA". It matches the Rfam family "Bacterial small subunit ribosomal RNA", at positions 523 to 918 of the family's 1533-position model. The record is from RNAcentral.